UGGGGAAUUUUGGACAAUGGGCGAAAGCCUGAUCCAGCAAUGCCGCGUGUGUGAAGAAGGCCUUCGGGUUGUAAAGCACUUUUGUCCGGAAAGAAAUCCUUGGCUCUAAUACAGUCGGGGGAUGACGGUACCGGAAGAAUAAGCACCGGCUAACUACGUGCCAGCAGCCGCGGUAAUACGUAGGGUGCAAGCGUUAAUCGGAAUUACUGGGCGUAAAGCGUGCGCAGGCGGUUUGCUAAGACCGAUGUGAAAUCCCCGGGCUCAACCUGGGAACUGCAUUGGUGACUGGCAGGCUAGAGUAUGGCAGAGGGGGGUAGAAUUCCACGUNUAGCAGUGAAAUGCGUAGAGAUGUGGAGGAAUACCGAUGGCGAAGGCAGCCCCCUGGGCAAAUACUGACGCUCAUGCACGAAAGCGUGGGGAGCAAACAGGAUUAGAUACCCUGGUAGUCCACGCCCUAAAACGAUGUCAACUAGUUGUUGGGGAUUCAUUUCCUUAGUAACGUAGCUAACGCGUGAAGUUGACCGCCUGGGGAGUACGGUCGCAAGAUUAAAACUCAAAUGAAUUGACGGGGUCAUAGCUG
RNAcentral lists this ribosomal RNA (580 nucleotides) under uncultured bacterium. Its description in RNAcentral is "partial 16S ribosomal RNA". It matches the Rfam family "Bacterial small subunit ribosomal RNA", at positions 355 to 932 of the family's 1533-position model. The record is from RNAcentral.